Molecule: ribosomal RNA, 465 nt
Filed under: uncultured bacterium
Lineage: Bacteria
Description: partial 16S ribosomal RNA
Rfam family: Bacterial small subunit ribosomal RNA
Source: RNAcentral
GACGAACGCUGGCGGCGUGCUUAACACAUGCAAGUCGAACGGAAAGGCCCCUUUGGGGGUACUCGAGUGGCGAACGGGUGAGUAACACGUGAGUAACCUGCCCUUGACUUCGGGAUAACUUCAGGAAACUGGGGCUAAUACCGGAUAGGAAUCCUUGCUGCAUGGUGGGGGUUGGAAAGCUUCGGCGGUUUUGGAUGGACUCGCGGCUUAUCAGCUUGUUGGUGGGGUAGUGGCUUACCAAGGCUUUGACGGGUAGCCGGCCUGAGAGGGCGACCGGCCACAGUGGGACUGAGAUACGGCCCAGACUCCUACGGGAGGCAGCAGUGGGGAAGAUUGCACAAUGGGCGGAAGCCUGAUGCAGCAACGCCGCGGGCGGGAUGACGGCCUUCGGGUUGUAAACCGCUUUCAGCAGGGGCGAAGCUUGUGGUGACGGUACCUGCAGAAGAAGCACCGGCUAACUACGUG